Molecule: ribosomal RNA, 984 nt
Filed under: Triticum aestivum (bread wheat)
Lineage: Eukaryota; Viridiplantae; Streptophyta; Magnoliopsida; Poales; Poaceae
Description: partial small subunit ribosomal RNA
Source: RNAcentral
AUGGAGCCGUCAGAGUUGUGCGUUGUAAGGAGGACCCGCGCCAUGGAUGACAUUGAGCACCGGCUUCACAAAGCCAUGGUGGUGUACAUUGGUGGGGACAGGUCAGAGAUCUCGCCGGAGCUGGUGAGGCGUGCUCUGAAAGACAGGAUGGGCAUCCCUGAGGACAGAUUUUCGGUGCACAAGUUCUGGCCGGAGGAUUUCCUGGUGGUCUUUGCUAGACAGGAGGACAGGAAUCUGUUGAGCAGGCGGUCGGUGCUGGAGCUUGAUGGGCACAGGUUGUUGUUCCGGCAGUGGAUCAGGCAGUCACAGGAGGUGUUCACGGCCAUGCGCUUCAAGGUGAGGUUGGUCAUCGAGGGGAUCCCGGCGCACGCAUGGGAGCUUGAGGUGAUUAAGAGUUUGUUGGGCGGUGCAUGUAUCAUCGAUUCCGUUGCGCCGGAGACCUCUGCUCGUUCAGAUCUUGCUGCGUUCAAGUUGCUGGCCUGGACGGCGGACCCGGAGCAAAUCCCCACCCACCGCUGGCUCGCGGUGCCGGAGCCGGAGGAGCAGAGGGCGCUUUUCCAGCCCAAGACUCUGCAAUACAAAGUGCUCAUACAUCUGGACUCUGUGAUUUCGUUCCCGGAGGGGAAGGAACCGUGGUUCUUGGGCGGCUCGUCGGACAGUGGCCAAAGCGGCCUGCCGGACUCAGAGAUGGAUAUGGGAGGAGGCGCUAACACGCAGAACUUUGGCUGGCGGUUUGGGGUCCGUGACUCGAGGGGUGACAAUGCCGGAGGGUCGGGAGGUGGCCGGAGCUAUGCCGGCGGCGUGGCCCGCGACGGAGCGCCAUCGUCGGAGUGGAAGAUUCCCCCCAUGGCCCAGGCUAGAGAGAGAUGUCGUGGUGGGGCCGGGGUCCGCGCCCACGAUAGGCUGACGGUGCGUCAGUCUGCUUUUGACCGGAUCGCUUCUGGACCCGGACAGGUGGACAAGGAUGCCACGGGGACGACUUGA